Molecule: ribosomal RNA, 254 nt
Filed under: uncultured bacterium
Lineage: Bacteria
Description: partial 16S ribosomal RNA
Rfam family: Bacterial small subunit ribosomal RNA
Source: RNAcentral
UACAGAGGGUGCAAGCGUUGUUCGGAAUUAUUGGGCGUAAAGCGCGUGUAGGCGGCUUUGCAAGUCGGGUGUGAAAGCCCUCGGCUCAACCGAGGAAGUGCGCCCGGAAACUGCAGAGCUUGAGUACCGGAGAGGAUGGCGGAAUUCCCCAAGUAGAGGUGAAAUUCGUAGAUAUGGGGAGGAACACCGGUGGCGAAGGCGGCCAUCUGGACGGAUACUGACGCUGAGACGCGAAAGCGUGGGGAGCGAACAGG